This 322-nucleotide ribosomal RNA is filed under the name uncultured eukaryote. Its description in RNAcentral is "partial 18S ribosomal RNA". It matches the Rfam family "Eukaryotic small subunit ribosomal RNA", at positions 1470 to 1796 of the family's 1831-position model. The record is from RNAcentral.
CCCUUAGAUGUUCUGGGCCGCACGCGUGCUACACUGAGUAAUUCAAUGGGUAAGGGAACGCUAGAGCAUUACCUAAUCUUGAAAUUUGCUCGUGAUGGGGAUCGACGGUUGCAAUUUUCCGUCGUGAACGAGGAAUACCUUGUAGGCGCAUGUCAUCAUCAUGCGCCGAAUACGUCCCUGCCCUUUGUACACACCGCCCGUCGCUCCUACCGAUUGAGUGAUCCGGUGAGGCUCUGGGACCUGGACGGAAAGAGUGUUUCGCUUGUUCUGUUUGGGAAACUUGGUCGAACCUUAUCAUUUAGAGGAAGGAGAAGUCGUAACA